Non-coding RNA from Phrynosoma platyrhinos (Desert horned lizard), 73 nucleotides. Lineage: Eukaryota; Metazoa; Chordata; Lepidosauria; Squamata; Phrynosomatidae. The record is from the annotation of a GenBank genome assembly.
GGGUGACAUAGUGUAGUGGUGUGAGUGUUGGACUAUGAUUCCAGAGACCAGGGUUUGAUUCCCGUUUCGGCCA